This 3924-nucleotide long non-coding RNA is filed under the name Heterocephalus glaber (naked mole-rat). Its description in RNAcentral is "lncRNA (ENSHGLG00100036566.1)". Lineage: Eukaryota; Metazoa; Chordata; Mammalia; Rodentia; Bathyergidae. The record is from RNAcentral.
AGCCAGAGCCCCUUGGUAAGUGAAGCUCCUGAGCCUGCAGCCAGGGACCUGACACUGGGACCUGUGUAAGGAAGCCUGAGAAGAAGGCAGGUACCCUAGGGCUGGUGGCAAGCCAGCCAGGAGGAAGGAGACUCUUAAGUCUUGUCUGAGUUGUCGGAUUGCACUCUUGGCAGGCAUAGGUCAAACAGCAUGCCAGUGGGGCAUCUGCUGCUUGAAGACUCCCAUCUCAGGACAACUUGAUCAUGGAACGGAGCACUGUAGGCUCCACUGAGCUCAAGACAACUCCCACACAUCUGCCUGGUUUAUGUUUGUGCAACAAUGUGCCCACACUGCCUACACUGGGUCCUAAUGGGAAACAAAGUUGGGGUUAGCUCCUCUCUAGGCUAUCAGGUGAGGAAACUAUCCUUCCUGGUAACCUGUAAGGAGCUAACAAGAGUCCUUUUGGGUUCCAAUUUGAACUGCUAUUUUUGUCCAGCUGGCAUGCUUAGGGCAUUUCUUCUGUAUGGGAUAAUUUGUAAACUGCAGUUACAGGAUUAACUUGUUCUGCUUUCUGCUUGUACUAAGGUAAAUAUUGCUAUUCGAGAUUACACAGAAGUUGUUCAGCCAGUCCUGAUUGGAAUGUAAACUUUGUGUUAACUCAGACCAAAGCGGGGAAGAAAGUACCAGGGCAUUUAUGUUUUUCUUUUUUUUUUGGUACCAGGGAUCAAACUCGGGUCCUUGUGCUUGCAAGGCAGGUGCCAGAACUACUGAGCUAAAUCCCUGGCCCCUCCAGGGCAUUUAAAAUCCAAUAGGCCACCAGACUUUUACAGAAGGAAACAGUAAGCAGGAUAAAGAAAAGUCAUAAGUUUGUCCUGAGUCAAUUUAAACAUAAUUUAACAGACUUGUCAUUGGAAAAUCCAUAUCUUGAGAUGUUCACAGGUUUAAAAAAAAAAAAAAAGACCAAGCUUCUCCUAGGGGUGAACGUGCUGUUGGGGCACCCCCUUCACACCACAGUCAGAGAUUUCUACAUGAGUAUAGACUGUAAAGGCAGGGAUGUGCAGCUGAGAAAACAGAGCGUGACUGUAGAUUACAGAGGUAGCGAAGGUGGUGCCCCCCCCCAUCCGUGAUAUUGUGCCCAACACUGGUCUCCUGACUGAACAACAGAUGCAGACUGUGGCCUCCUACUGUGAUCUUUUGAAUUUUGCUAACAAUUUCAUUAGCUGCUGAGUCCCGGGACCAGCUUACAUUCACCUGGAAUAGACUGAAAUGGUGGAAUUAGUCAGACUCAUGGUCAGGGCAUCCACUUAGGCCCUAAGGCCUGACCUGAGGUCAUAAGUUAUGGAGAGAGAGAUGCAAUGACCAAAAGGGCACUGGUGCCACCUAGUUCACAAGAAACGUCUGGUAGGAAAUUUGGGCUCCUAUGGGGACACCGCAGAGCUCAAGAGGUCUCUGUCCUGCUGCAGGGAUGCCCUCAGGAGGAUCCCAGACCUAGUCUUCUCUCUCUCUCCCCUCUCCAUAGACCCUACAAAGCACCAUGGGCAACAUCCUGCUAACCCCUCCCACCUCACCAUGAGGCUGUAUCCUUAAUAAUUAAAAACAAUUUGCAAUAAAGUUUGGGCCCAAUAUGAACCAGGGGACGGAGAACAGUGGCCAAAAAGUGGCAGUCUAAAUUAUAAUACUAUUCUCCAGUUAGAUCUCUUUUUCAAAAGUCAAGGGAAAUGGUCAGAAAUCCCUUAUGUGCUGGCUUUUAUGACCCUCUAUUGAAAACUAUCCCUCUGCAAAGGCCCAAGAGAUACCGCCCUUUAAAAGGCUUCUGAACCACACAUUGGUAUUACUAAUGACCCCUCUUUAGAUUACCACAGUCUCUCAGGGGAACCAAGUGGGACCCUCUCAACUUCCUCAUAAUCCUCAAGCCAGUGCAUAUGCACCACCCUCUCCCAGUGACUCGGAACCCUGUCCCAGGCUAGCUCUUCAGAGAGGCUAAGACACCUUAAACCCCUCCCAGUGACCCCAAGGCCACAUUAAGUCCUGCAGGACAUGUGUGGAGUGGAGCUUCUUACUCUUCCAGGUCGCAACCUAUCCUGCCUUGGAAGAUGACUGGGGCAGGGGGGGAUCAUCUGAGUCCAAGUCCCUUUUCAGUCACAGACAUCAACAAUGCAAGGAGCACUUAGGUCGAUUUUCUGAGGAUCAUCCUAGGUUUGCAAAUGAGCUCCAAACUUUGUCCCUUGUUUUUGACCUUUCUUGGUGAGAUGUGCAGUUUGUUCUAGCUGCCUGUUGCACACCAGGUGAAAAACAAAGACUCCUUGGCCGGGAUUUACCUCAGUGGUUCUGCCACCUGCCUCAAAAGCUCAAGGUCCCAAGUUUGACCUCUGGUACCGCAAAAAACAAGCAAAAAACAAAGACUCCUUGAGUAAGCAAGGUGAUACACAGAUCAUCAGUUUGUGGUAGAUAGAGAGAAAAUCAGGAGAUGUUAGCCAUACCACAUACUGAUCCAAAUUGGGAUUAUUAUACUACAGGAGGACUAGAGAUGAGAGCUAAGACGGUAGCAGAAAACCUGUAAACUACAAAAAAGUUAACUACAAAAAAAAAAAAAAUGAGAGAGAUUAUCCAAGAAAAGGAAGAAAAUCCAGCUAUCUUUCAUAGCCAGCUAGAGGAAGCCUUCCAAAAGUAUGUAUUCUUCACCCAGCGGGGAAGGGCUCUCUUGGGACAUUCUAUUAGACAAUCCACCCUAGAUAUCCACCAGAGACCACAAAAACUUCAGAUGGGACCUCAAACCACUGGCUGGACAUGAUCUUCUCCACGUUCAACAACUGGGAUCAGAAAGAGGGUGAAAGGGAAAGGAACCGAGAUCGGAGACAGGCAAAAAUAAUGGUCACCACAAGUAGUAACACUCAAGCCCAGAUUGUCCAAGGAAAAACCUGAGAAAACAGAAAGGGUUCUUGCUUUAAGUUCAAAGAUACUGACUGGUUGGUUGGUCACUGGGCUUGAGAAUGUUCACAUCCACCGCCUGGACCCUGCCCAGAGUUUUGAGACGCUGAUCUCAACCCAUGGCAUUGGAAGGUCCACUGUCCACAGAGAGAUGCAGCCAGCCAAAACUUUAAAUGCCAACCCAGUGGAUGAGGACGGAAGGAGCCCAAGGCAAUUCACAAUCCCCCCAUCAGAAAACACAUCCAUCACCAUCAAAGUACCCUGGGGAGCCUUGGACAUUAGACUUCAAGGAACAUUUCACCACAGUCUUCUGAACUUCUGGGGAUAUCAACAUCUUCCAACUGACCCCACAAUCCUCAUUUCCCCUGUAGAUCAGUAGGGAUGGCGUUCAUACUCAGCAGGAAGCAGUUCUGGAAAAUUGAGACCAUCAAGCUUCAACAAGCUAUAAUGAAUUAUGGGAAUCAUGUCUCUCACAGGGAAGUUGAAGCAGGAAGCAGAGCAAGGACAAGUAAACAACAGAAAGCUGAGAGACAAGAAUCCAGAAGCCAGACAGAGCAAGACAGAAACCAGAUAGAGACAACUAUGCCAAAAUAUCAGGAAAACAAGAUAAUAGUGACUCUGCACCCCAGCCCCAAGAUUCCAGGCAUGUGUAAACCCAAAAGUACACAACCUUGGCCUGCAGUUUUGACACCCCACCCACAGUGGUCUUUUGAGGCCAUGACACUUUUUCUAAAACCUCCCACGUCAAACUCCCCCCUCCUAAUGAGUGGGCUGAGUCACGUACCCCAUUGGCCCAUAACUCCUGUCAAUCCCCACCUGUAGACCCUCCCAUAACCCCAGGAUCCAAACAAACCCAGUAGCUGCCCCUGUUGGGACAUGAGCUCUUCUCACUGGCCCAGUCCCACCCUGUGGACCUUUACUUCUUUCACUUGCUCUUGUUGCUCCUUUUAAAUAAAUCUUACUCUUACUACUCUUUCUGAGUUUCCUGCUCAGUUCUUUGUUUGAGACACCAAGAAC